Molecule: ribosomal RNA, 497 nt
Filed under: uncultured bacterium
Lineage: Bacteria
Description: partial 16S ribosomal RNA
Rfam family: Bacterial small subunit ribosomal RNA
Source: RNAcentral
GAUGAACGCUGGCGGCGUGCCUAAUACAUGCAAGUCGAGCGAACAGAUAAGGAGCUUGCUCCUUUGACGUUAGCGGCGGACGGGUGAGUAACACGUGGAUAACCUACCUAUAAGACUGGGAUAACUUCGGGAAACCGGAGCUAAUACCGGGUAAGAUUUUGAACCGCAUGGUUCAAUAGUGAAAGACGGCCUUGCUGUCACUUAUAGAUGGAUCCGCGCCGUAUUAGCUAGUUGGUAAGGUAACGGCUUACCAAGGCAACGAUACGUAGCCGACCUGAGAGGGUGAUAGGCCACACUGGAACUGAGACACGGUCCAGACUCCUACGGGAGGCAGCAGUAGGGAAUCUUCCGCAAUGGGCGAAAGCCUGACGGAGCAACGCCGCGUGAGUGAUGAAGGUCUUCGGAUCGUAAAACUCUGUUAUCAGGGAAGAACAAACGUGUAAGUAACUGUGCACGUCUUGACGGUACCUGAUCAGAAAGCCACGGCUAACUACGUG